AACCUUUACUAUUGAUACUAACAGUCUUUAAUUGAAAACGAUCCUAACAUUUAAUAAUAUUGGUAAUGAUAUAGGUAAUAGGUACUGACCCUCACUAUCAUAUAGUUGCCAA
Aedes aegypti (yellow fever mosquito) is the source of this 112-nucleotide long non-coding RNA. RefSeq lists it as uncharacterized. Lineage: Eukaryota; Metazoa; Arthropoda; Insecta; Diptera; Culicidae. The record is from RefSeq and is a predicted model, not a curated record. The transcript is spliced from 2 exons.